GCGCAAUUAAACAACAGUACAUCUUUGAAAAGCAGAAGUGGAGCCUCCUGCAUAACCAACAAGAAUUCAGCAAGAGGUUUCUGGAUGAAUUUUUUCUCAUGGCUCACCAGCGGAGUCAUUACGGUAACUGACGGUAACUGAUUUCCUUCUGCUUCAGAGGCCAACAGAAGUCAAGAUGAACUUUCCUUCAUGAUUCAUUUUGUUUCAUUACUCCAGAUUUGGCUUUAAUGCAUUUCAAAGUUUGUUUAAACUGAUCAACAGGAAGGCCACAGCUCC
Molecule: non-coding RNA, 276 nt
Organism: Poecilia reticulata (guppy)
Lineage: Eukaryota; Metazoa; Chordata; Actinopteri; Cyprinodontiformes; Poeciliidae
Source: RefSeq, a predicted model, not a curated record